This is a long non-coding RNA of Hipposideros armiger (great roundleaf bat), 325 nucleotides long. RefSeq lists it as uncharacterized. Lineage: Eukaryota; Metazoa; Chordata; Mammalia; Chiroptera; Hipposideridae. The transcript has 3 exons. The record is from RefSeq and is a predicted model, not a curated record.
CCCGACUCCUCCUCCGCCCGUGACCUGGAGGCGGUGGCCUCUCCAACUAUCACCGAGGCCCCAGGAAGAAGAGCAGGGGAAGGAGGAAACGCAGGGGCAGCACGUCUCUCAGGGUACGGCGGCGCUACCGCCGGCAUGGAGCCCAACGUGCGCUUCUGGAUCACCGAACGCCAAUCUUUUAUUCAGAGAUUUCUUCAGUGGACAGAGUUAUUGGAUCCUACAAAUUUGGUCAUUUCAAUUGAGAAAAUAGAAAAAUCAAGGCAACUGUUGUUAAAUGAAGGUGCAUCUGUUCAUGACUUGGAGGACGAAACGGUAUGUUGUGAGU